This 1369-nucleotide ribosomal RNA is filed under the name uncultured bacterium. RNAcentral's name for it is "bacterial SSU rRNA". It matches the Rfam family "Bacterial small subunit ribosomal RNA", at positions 28 to 1381 of the family's 1533-position model. The record is from RNAcentral.
GACGAACGCUGGCGGCGUGCCUAAUACAUGCAAGUAGAACGCUGAAGAGAGGAGCUUGCUCUUCUUGGAUGAGUUGCGAACGGGUGAGUAACGCGUAGGUAACCUGCCUUGUAGCGGGGGAUAACUAUUGGAAACGAUAGCUAAUACCGCAUAACAAUGGAUGACACAUGUCAUUUAUUUGAAAGGGGCAAUUGCUCCACUACAAGAUGGACCUGCGUUGUAUUAGCUAGUAGGUGAGGUAACGGCUCACCUAGGCGACGAUACAUAGCCGACCUGAGAGGGUGAUCGGCCACACUGGGACUGAGACACGGCCCAGACUCCUACGGGAGGCAGCAGUAGGGAAUCUUCGGCAAUGGGGGCAACCCUGACCGAGCAACGCCGCGUGAGUGAAGAAGGUUUUCGGAUCGUAAAGCUCUGUUGUAAGUCAAGAACGAGUGUGAGAGUGGAAAAUUCACACUGUGACGGUAGCUUACCAGAAAGGGACGGCUAACUACGUGCCAGCAGCCGCGGUAAUACGUAGGUCCCGAGCGUUGUCCGGAUUUAUUGGGCGUAAAGCGAGCGCAGGCGGUUUGAUAAGUCUGAAGUUAAAGGCUGUGGCUCAACCAUAGUUCGCUUUGGAAACUGUCAAACUUGAGUGCAGAAGGGGAGAGUGGAAUUCCAUGUGUAGCGGUGAAAUGCGUAGAUAUAUGGAGGAACACCGGUGGCGAAAGCGGCUCUCUGGUCUGUAACUGACGCUGAGGCUCGAAAGCGUGGGGAGCGAACAGGAUUAGAUACCCUGGUGGUCCACGCCGUAAACGAUGAGUGCUAGGUGUUGGAUCCUUUCCGGGAUUCAGUGCCGCAGCUAACGCAUUAAGCACUCCGCCUGGGGAGUACGACCGCAAGGUUGAAACUCAAAGGAAUUGACGGGGGCCCGCACGAGCGGUGGAGCAUGUGGUUUAAUUCGAAGCAACGCGAAGAACCUUACCAGGUCUUGACAUCCCGAUGCUAUUUCUAGAGAUAGAAAGUUACUUCGGUACAUCGGUGACAGGUGGUGCAUGGUUGUCGUCAGCUCGUGUCGUGAGAUGUUGGGUUAAGUCCCGCAACGAGCGCAACCCCUAUUGUUAGUUGCCAUCAUUCAGUUGGGCACUCUAGCGAGACUGCCGGUAAUAAACCGGAGGAAGGUGGGGAUGACGUCAAAUCAUCAUGCCCCUUAUGACCUGGGCUACACACGUGCUACAAUGGUUGGUACAACGAGUUGCGAGUCGGUGACGGCAAGCUAAUCUCUUAAAGCCAAUCUCAGUUCGGAUUGUAGGCUGCAACUCGCCUACAUGAAGUCGGAAUCGCUAGUAAUCGCGGAUCAGCACGCCGCGGUGAAUACGUUCCCGGGCCU